RNAcentral lists this ribosomal RNA (253 nucleotides) under uncultured bacterium. Its description in RNAcentral is "partial 16S ribosomal RNA". It matches the Rfam family "Bacterial small subunit ribosomal RNA", at positions 524 to 776 of the family's 1533-position model. The record is from RNAcentral.
UACAGAGGGUGCAAGCGUUGUUCGGAAUUAUUGGGCGUAAAGCGCGUGUAGGCGGCUUUGCAAGUCGGGUGUGAAAGCCCUCGGCUCAACCGAGGAAGUGCGCCCGAAACUGCAGAGCUUGAGUACCGGAGAGGAUGGCGGAAUUCCCCAAGUAGAGGUGAAAUUCGUAGAUAUGGGGAGGAACACCGGUGGCGAAGGCGGCCAUCUGGACGGAAACUGACGCUGAGACGCGAAAGCGUGGGUAGCAAACAGG